RNAcentral lists this small RNA (1730 nucleotides) under Vigna angularis var. angularis. Its description in RNAcentral is "Non-protein coding transcript". The record is from RNAcentral. Lineage: Eukaryota; Viridiplantae; Streptophyta; Magnoliopsida; Fabales; Fabaceae.
CUUAAGCAUUUACGCAUGAUUCUAUCUCCCCCUAAUUCUUAGGUAGCAGUUGCCCUCUGUUCUCCAUUUCAGCUGAACAUCGAUGUUUAAUUAAGUUGAUAGAAUGAUAUAGUUUAUUUGUAUUAACGAAGAGUGUAAAUCCACCUUUUUAAUUAAUAUAUUUUGCUUUUGCCCGUAUAUAAGUGAUAAUAAUGUAAGAGAUCUGGUUUUUUAAAGUGGCUUUUGUUAAUUCUCCUUCCUUUUCCUCUCCUAUUCAAACUUGAAACCUGUUAGGUAUUUGCCACUGAAUACGGCUUUUCGUUCCAAUAGUACUGUUCCAUCAUGUGAUUUUGUUAUUGUGUUGUCGUUGAUCAUGCAUAUGAAUGAGAAUUAGAAAAUGUCUUCCAAAGUACCGUUUCAUAGGUGAUCGAUAGGUGGCAAAACCGGCAUAAUUACUCGCAUCAUGUUUUGGUAAUUUGACACUGACUACCAGUUCUUUAUUUCACCGUUCUCUUCUUUCUAAUCUUUUAUUGUUCGAAAUUUCGUUGAUAGAUUGCCAAUUUCAGUUUGACUAAUCCUUUUCGAUCAUGUUUGGUUUUGGUUAUGUGCGUUGAGCUUUUGUUUAAUCCCAUCGCACCAUUACAUAAAGGCUUUCCAUUACUUUUUCGUUAGAUAUGUUUCGUGUGAUUUUACGUAGAUAAACCUGAUCCGGAACUAGAGUAUUGUUGCCAUUUUGAUUAUGUUGUUUGGGCCAUUUUUGUUAUUGUUUUGUUUUUCAUUGAGGAUAAAGGUGGAAAGUUCAUGUUAUAGAUUUGUGAUUUAUUGUGAUUUUUAGGUAUGGGAAGUAAGCACCGCCGCGCACGAUUAGGACGUAAUUGGAAGGAUCGGAGGAUACUGUAGGCAAGAAAGAAUAGAAGUCACAUGCCAAGCUACAUCAGAGAUUCUUCUGUUGCGGUUGUUGUAUGAUGGAGGCAGAUUUGGAGAAAUGAACAGUUAUUUCUGUAUUUGGCAGUUAGUCAUGGAAUAUAGAUAUACGAAAAUAGAGCAGUUGGGAGGAUGUGUCUUUCGUUGUUUUUGCAGUGUCAAAGGAAACUACUUUUUAGGGCAGUAGCCUAUCUCAGCAAUUCUGUACUUCAAAUUCUGGUUAAUUUCGCACUUGUUAUCAAUAAAAUUCUGUAAUUUUUUGUGCAAUCUUGAAUCUAACACUUUGGUUCUGAAUUCUGACGUCUUUCUUAUAUAUCAUGUCAAUAUGAAUAAAACUGUUAAUGGUUUCGCUUCUACAUUUACAUAGGAUGUAGCCAAUAAAAACAUUCUGGAAUAUCAAUUCAUCAUCUAUGUCUGUGCCAUAUCUUACGUGAACCAAAAAUUUCAGCCUUUAUUUCGCAAGAUUGCUGCUGCCUUGCUGGGUAUAGAAACACUUCUUUCUACAAAACGGGAACACAUGGUUGAUGUAAAUUUAAAAGCUACAGUUGAUUCAUCCCAGACGAAGCAGCAGGGAGGUGUGUUGCUUUAGCAAAAGAAAGGCCAUUCAUAAGAGCCAUUUAAGUAUGUUCCCUAAGCACAAUCACGGAACUGGCUACUAAAAUGUACAGAUGCAGAUGAGACAGACAUGCUUCCAUACCAAUAUUUCGUCAGUGUUUAGUUAUGGGAGAGAGGUUUGCAGUAAUUUUUUACGGAAGGUAAAGAAAUUGAUAGUCAUUUAAUUUAAUUUCAUUUAUUAUACAGUUAGACCCUUUAAUGUAAGAAUGCAG